Molecule: non-coding RNA, 324 nt
Organism: Macaca mulatta (Rhesus monkey)
Lineage: Eukaryota; Metazoa; Chordata; Mammalia; Primates; Cercopithecidae
Source: RefSeq, a predicted model, not a curated record
GAUUUCAUUGACCUCCAGAGGAAAGAGAAGGAGGCGUAUGCCUGGCUGCAAGCAGGGAAGAUCUAUUACAUCUUGCGGCAGAGCGAGCUGGUGACCUGUACAUCCAGGUGGCACAGAAUGUGGACCUUACACAGGCGACCCCAACCUGGGGCUGGAGCUGUUUGAGGCAGCUGGAGACAUCUUCAAUGGGGCCUGGGAGCGGGAGGAAGGCAUGUCCUUCUACCGGGACCAGGCCCUGCCCCUGGCAGUGACUACGGGCAACCGCGAGGCGGAGCUGCAGCUACAGCUGUGCAACAAGCUGGUGGCACUCCUGGCCACGCUGGA